RNAcentral lists this ribosomal RNA (1172 nucleotides) under Leuconostoc mesenteroides. Its description in RNAcentral is "bacterial SSU rRNA". It matches the Rfam family "Bacterial small subunit ribosomal RNA", at positions 299 to 1463 of the family's 1533-position model. The record is from RNAcentral. Lineage: Bacteria; Bacillati; Bacillota; Bacilli; Lactobacillales; Lactobacillaceae.
ACUGAUCGGCCACAUUGGGACUGAGACCCGGCCCAAACUCCUACGGGAGGCUGCAGUAGGGAAUCUUCCACAAUGGGCGAAAGCCUGAUGGAGCAACGCCGCGUGUUUGAUGAAGGCUUUCGGGUCGUAAAGCACUGUUGUAUGGGAAGAACAGCUAGAAUAGGAAAUGAUUUUAGUUUGACGGUACCAUACCAGAAAGGGACGGCUAAAUACGUGCCAGCAGCCGCGGUAAUACGUAUGUCCCGAGCGUUAUCCGGAUUUAUUGGGCGUAAAGCGAGCGCAGACGGUUUAUUAAGUCUGAUGUGAAAGCCCGGAGCUCAACUCCGGAAUGGCAUUGGAAACUGGUUAACUUGAGUGCAGUAGAGGUAAGUGGAACUCCAUGUGUAGCGGUGGAAUGCGUAGAUAUAUGGAAGAACACCAGUGGCGAAGGCGGCUUACUGGACUGCAACUGACGUUGAGGCUCGAAAGUGUGGGUAGCAAACAGGAUUAGAUACCCUGGUAGUCCACACCGUAAACGAUGAACACUAGGUGUUAGGAGGUUUCCGCCUCUUAGUGCCGAAGCUAACGCAUUAAGUGUUCCGCCUGGGGAGUACGACCGCAAGGUUGAAACUCAAAGGAAUUGACGGGGACCCGCACAAGCGGUGGAGCAUGUGGUUUAAUUCGAAGCAACGCGAAGAACCUUACCAGGUCUUGACAUCCUUUGAAGCUUUUAGAGAUAGAAGUGUUCUCUUCGGAGACAAAGUGACAGGUGGUGCAUGGUCGUCGUCAGCUCGUGUCGUGAGAUGUUGGGUUAAGUCCCGCAACGAGCGCAACCCUUAUUGUUAGUUGCCAGCAUUCAGAUGGGCACUCUAGCGAGACUGCCGGUGACAAACCGGAGGAAGGCGGGGACGACGUCAGAUCAUCAUGCCCCUUAUGACCUGGGCUACACACGUGCUACAAUGGCGUAUACAACGAGUUGCCAACCCGCGAGGGUGAGCUAAUCUCUUAAAGUACGUCUCAGUUCGGAUUGUAGUCUGCAACUCGACUACAUGAAGUCGGAAUCGCUAGUAAUCGCGGAUCAGCACGCCGCGGUGAAUACGUUCCCGGGUCUUGUACACACCGCCCGUCACACCAUGGGAGUUUGUAAUGCCCAAAGCCGGUGGCCUAACCUUUAGGAAGGAGCCGUCUAAGGC